This is a ribosomal RNA of Patagioenas fasciata monilis, 123 nucleotides long. NCBI's taxonomy places the organism in Eukaryota, Metazoa, Chordata, Aves, Columbiformes, Columbidae. The record is from Rfam.
AUAUGCAGCCACACCCCCCUGAGAACGCCCCAUCUCAUCUGCUCUGGGAAGCUAAGCAGGGUCGGGCCCGGUCGGCACUUGGAUGGGAGACCAGUGGGGUCCAGAGAGGUUCUCCUGCCCCUC